UACGGGGGGGGCAAGCGUUGUUCGGAAUUACUGGGCGUAAAGGGCUCGUAGGUGGCCAACUAAUCAGACGUGAAAUCCCUCGGCUUAACCGGGGAACUGCGUCUGAUACUGGAUGGCUUGAGUUCGGGAGAGGGAUGCGGAAUUCCAGGUGUAGCGGUGAAAUGCGUAGAUAUCUGGAGGAACACCGGUGGCGAAGGCGGCAUCCUGGACCGACACUGACACUGAGGAGCGAAAGCCAGGGGAGCAAACGGG
This 252-nucleotide ribosomal RNA is filed under the name uncultured bacterium. RNAcentral describes it as "partial 16S ribosomal RNA". It matches the Rfam family "Bacterial small subunit ribosomal RNA", at positions 524 to 776 of the family's 1533-position model. The record is from RNAcentral.